This is a long non-coding RNA of Ailuropoda melanoleuca (giant panda), 1060 nucleotides long. RefSeq lists it as uncharacterized. NCBI's taxonomy places the organism in Eukaryota, Metazoa, Chordata, Mammalia, Carnivora, Ursidae. The record is from RefSeq and is a predicted model, not a curated record. The transcript has 3 exons.
GGCGUCUCCUCCUCAGCAGGCCCCUGGCCGCCAUCUUCACGCACGCACGCACACGCACGCACACACGCACGCACACGUGUUUCCUCCGUGAAAUCUGCGAAUCCGUGGGAAGAAUCACGAGCCGGGCUGUAGCCAGACGCAGGGGGCCUUCUGGUUCUUUCCAGCCGGCAAACCUGCUUCAGGGUCUGUCAGGGACUUGGGCUUGGAGAUGGGAACCCAUCAAGGGUCGUCCGCAAAAGCUGAGUCCCGACGCUGGGCGCCCGGGGGCGGGCGGCGUCGCUGAUGGGCCCCAGCCCCCGGGGACCUGGGGUUAAGUUAAGCUCAUCACAGCCUCCCGUGCUAGUCAGCCCCUGCCCCGCUCCUCCUCCCCGUCUGCGUUGUGCGGGAGGGCGGUCCUCUACACCCAAGCCCUUCGCCCAUUCUGGAAUGUCUGCUCGCCUCUCUCCCAGGAACAGGGUUCCCAUGGGCGGGGUGCGUCUUCCCUGUGGAGCCCCAGCCCCCCCGCCUAGCAGGUGGACCGAGAACACGCUGGGGAGAGUUUGGGGGGAGAAACAGGCUCCCAACGUUUUUCUCCCGCCGUGGACCAUUGCUGCGUGCACACUCUGACACCUACGGCUGCAUUCUCUCACCUCGCCGGGAAGGAGGCUAGAAUGGACAUGGGUGCGUCCAAGAGGUGUUUAUUUUAAAUUAAAAGAGAUCGUCACUCAAAAAAUCCUCAGACUCUUGUGGAAUGACCCGUUCUUUCAAGCUUCGUCUCCGAAGUUAAGUGUGCAGACGGACGAGGCUCCUCCCAGGAAGGCCAACAACGUGACCGAUGCAUUCCGUGGCCUUCAUGACAGCUGCUCGGGCUCCGCAUCGUCUGUGUUACUGGCUGUGAUCUGACAGGAUCCGCACUGACUCACGCCAGGCAUGAAUGGGACAUGUUAGCCGCCCACCCUAAACCGGGAAGCAGGGAGGCCGGGAAGCAAUGCACUUGCCCGUGCGGCCCAGUCCCUGCCUCUGGAAGCAUGUGGGUAAGACAGUGGACGUCAUUCAGACCCAGGGCGAGUCCAGGGAGGAA